Long non-coding RNA from Marmota flaviventris (yellow-bellied marmot), 365 nucleotides. RefSeq lists it as uncharacterized. NCBI's taxonomy places the organism in Eukaryota, Metazoa, Chordata, Mammalia, Rodentia, Sciuridae. The record is from RefSeq and is a predicted model, not a curated record.
CCUCUUGGGGCGUCUGCAUGACAACUGCUUUGUGACACCGCUGCACACCUAGCUCUUGGAGUUCUGCUUGGCAGGAGAAAACAACCCUGGUAAAGGAGCUGUGCACAAGCACCAGCCGCUCUUGGCCACCGGGGCACAGGAAGCCCCUUGGAAAGUCAGCUCUGCCUUGCCCUGAGGAGCACCCACUGUGCAGAUGAAAGGACUUUCGCUUCCACCACCACUUCCUCCCAAGAAAGCAAGAACCGGGCCUUAGACUUCUGACUUCUUUUCAGAAUAACAACAAGACAGCUUUUGAUUUUUUCCAGCACGUUGAAUGCAGUGACCUAUAAAGUAAAACACCGGCUGGCAAACUCUUCAACCCAAGA